Molecule: microRNA precursor, 90 nt
Filed under: Canis lupus familiaris (dog)
Lineage: Eukaryota; Metazoa; Chordata; Mammalia; Carnivora; Canidae
Also listed under: 1 other name
Description: mir-8799 microRNA precursor family
Rfam family: mir-8799 microRNA precursor family
Source: Rfam by way of RNAcentral
AGGCAGAGGGCCGGAUCCUGGGCUGUGUCCUUGCUCCCAGUGCUCCUGGGGCUGUGCUGUUGGAUUCCUGCUCCCGAUCCGCAGCCCCCU